Asparagus officinalis (garden asparagus) is the source of this 392-nucleotide long non-coding RNA. RefSeq lists it as uncharacterized. Lineage: Eukaryota; Viridiplantae; Streptophyta; Magnoliopsida; Asparagales; Asparagaceae. The transcript has 2 exons. The record is from RefSeq and is a predicted model, not a curated record.
CUCAAUUGAAGAUGAGAAAAACUCUCUUGGGAACAAAGUUGCUGUUAUUUCUGAUGAGCUAUCCACUGAAAGGGAUCGCGUCCUUAGAAUUAGCGCAGACUUUGAUACUUUCAGGAAGAGGACUAAGAGAGACCGCCUCUCAAAGAGGAUUGUGCUUGUUCUGUUUAUACAUAUUUGCGCAAAGCUUCCAAUCAGUCAGCAAAUUUGCUUCUCGAUCAGAUUUGGAGGAGAGGGAACUCGAUAUCUGGCGCUUAAGAUGCAAUGUAACAUGUCAGUCAUGUUCAAUCAACCUUGUAUCAUUUGUUGACUGCAGAUGCAUUAAUUUAUGUAAAAGUUUGUAAAAAAUUUAUGUAUCUCUCUACUAUUUUGAUGAAUGUAUUAUUUGAAUAUAA